RNAcentral lists this non-coding RNA (87 nucleotides) under Eubacterium pyruvativorans. Its description in RNAcentral is "c-di-GMP-I riboswitch aptamer". It matches the Rfam family "c-di-GMP-I riboswitch aptamer". From Rfam's summary of the family: GEMM was predicted in a large-scale screen for bacterial structured RNA regulatory elements. Genes associated with GEMM are involved in a diverse array of functions, including chemotaxis regulation, signal transduction, secretion and chitin. The record is from Rfam by way of RNAcentral. Lineage: Bacteria; Bacillati; Bacillota; Clostridia; Eubacteriales; Eubacteriaceae.
AAGUGAAAAGAGCAAAUCAGCAGUGAUGCUGAGACGCAAAACUAUAGGGUCUCGCCCGUGAACCGUGCGAGACAGCCAGCUGCCGGA